UACAGAGGUCCCCAAGCGUUGUUCGGAUUCACUGGGCGUAAAGGGUGCGUAGGUGGCAAGGUAAGUUUGAUGUGAAAUCUCCGAGCUUAACUCGGAAAUGGCAUUGAAUACUAUCUUGCUCGAGGGUUGGAGGGGACGUGAUCUCGGUGUAGCAGUGAAAUAGCGUAGAUAUCGAGAGGAACACCAGUGGCGAAGGCGAGUCCCUCGGACAACUCCUGACACUGAGGCACGAAAGACUAGGGGA
RNAcentral lists this ribosomal RNA (244 nucleotides) under uncultured bacterium. RNAcentral describes it as "partial 16S ribosomal RNA". It matches the Rfam family "Bacterial small subunit ribosomal RNA", at positions 524 to 768 of the family's 1533-position model. The record is from RNAcentral.